GCAGAUGGAGCUCAGAUUCUUCGGUUAACUGUCACCCUCUCCCCUCCCCCAUCACACACACACCAGGCCCUGCCAGGACAAGGCAGCUCCUGGAAGCUCCACCAGGACCCACGUCCACCAGGCAUCUCGAACCCUCGGCCCCCAUGGACCCCCUGAGGCGCUCCCCCUCUCCCUGCCUGUCCUCGCGGCCCUCCAGCCCCAGCACACCACCCUGCGAGAUGCUUGGUCCUGUGGGCAUUGAGGCUGUGCUGGACCAGCUGAAGAUCAAGGCUAUGAAGAUGGGGUUUGAGUUCAACAUCAUGGUGGUGGGGCAAAGCGGGCUGGGCAAGUCCACGAUGGUGAACACGCUGUUCAAGUCCAAAGUGUGGAAGUCAAACCCACCGGGCUUGGGGGUGCCCACACCCCAGACGCUGCAGCUGCAUUCACUGACACAUGUCAUAGAGGAGAAAGGUGUGAAGCUGAAGCUGACGGUGACGGACACGCCCGGCUUCGGGGACCAGAUCAACAAUGACAACUGACAGUGAAGCCGAGAAUGGCAGGAGGUCUCCCUAUGUCU
Molecule: small RNA, 556 nt
Filed under: Pan troglodytes (chimpanzee)
Lineage: Eukaryota; Metazoa; Chordata; Mammalia; Primates; Hominidae
Description: processed transcript
Source: RNAcentral